UAAUUAGUUGAUCUUAACUUUUCUUUGGUGUAAGUGACUAAUGGGAGAGUUGCUGCUGCAUGGGGCCAUUGCCCAGAAAAUCCUAAAGAGCCUUGCUGGAAUUGAGGUAGACUGGUUAAACAAAAAUAUCUCUGAUAUGUGGCCUUGCCUUCAUAAGAUUGAAGUUGGAGAGAUUGAAAGGCUAAAAAAUGAUUUAGUUUGAAUCCUCCCCCACAUGAUUCAGACAUGUUGAAGCUAUUCUAUCCAAGCCACAAUGCCCAGGUGCACAUUGUUAUGGAUGACAUGAAUUAAUUUUACUCCAUAGAGGAGCAGGACAGUUGAACAAAAUUGAAUAAAUGUGGAUAUUUUCAAUUAAUGUUUAGAAGCAAGAAAUGGCAGUGGGAUUUAUUUAGUAGUUUGUAAGUUGUAGGAAGAAAUUGGUCCACCCCAAUGUAUAUAGCCCAUAACUACAUUAAUGUGAAUUUCCCACUGGAU
Carya illinoinensis is the source of this 474-nucleotide long non-coding RNA. RefSeq lists it as uncharacterized. The record is from RefSeq and is a predicted model, not a curated record. The transcript is spliced from 3 exons. NCBI's taxonomy places the organism in Eukaryota, Viridiplantae, Streptophyta, Magnoliopsida, Fagales, Juglandaceae.